GACUAGAGGUCAUGUGUAUGAUUGAGUAUAAGAAGUAGAACCACAACUGGAUCCCAAAAGCUAAAGUAGUGUUUACUUGUUAGAAGAUACGAAGC
Molecule: small RNA, 95 nt
Filed under: Arabidopsis thaliana (thale cress)
Lineage: Eukaryota; Viridiplantae; Streptophyta; Magnoliopsida; Brassicales; Brassicaceae
Description: ATSL198750
Source: RNAcentral